This 1474-nucleotide long non-coding RNA is filed under the name Coffea arabica (coffee). Its description in RNAcentral is "long non-coding RNA (CARA_LNC005049)". Lineage: Eukaryota; Viridiplantae; Streptophyta; Magnoliopsida; Gentianales; Rubiaceae. The record is from RNAcentral.
UGAUUUCCAGCAAGUUAUUUGCUCCUUAUGCAACUUCAAACAUUGGGCAGCUCAUAUUCAAGGACAACUUUUUGUGGCUGCAUUUAGGUGGUGGAAAUGCAAAUAAUGUAAUUCUUUAAAAUCAAUAAACAAACUAAUAAAUACUAAUUUAUUUCUACAAUAACAAAUUUAUAUAGAUAUAACUUACUUGCAUUUAGGGUGUGUUUGAAUUUUUGAAAAGUUGCUACAAUUUUUUUUUAAUAUUUUUCGUGAACAUAUUUUCAAAUCAUGUUUUUAUUUUACAUAUAUCAAAUCAUUAUAAUAAUUUUUUUUACAAAAAAUUCGAAAAAAUACAAUCCAAACGAAGUCUAAAAUUUUCAAUUGUGGAUUAAUACUUUAAUUAACAAGUAGUGGAAACUGGUAACAGAAGGGGUUCUUAUUUAAGUUGCGGGAAUUAUAUAGAUUGUGCUUUUUUGUUCUGGGAAAACAAACGAGUCGAUUUCCGUUAAACAGAAGACUUCUGAUUUUUGUAGCAUAAUAGAAAGAAUCUUUUAAACUCAACAAGUAAGAUAAUAAGAAACUAGGGAAAUGAAAAACUAACUCGGGGUAAGAGUUAGUAUGGGCAAUUACCCUUUGAAGCAAACUUCUCAAUUUGAACCUUGACAUAUUCCUUCACACAAAAAAAAAAAGAAGUUUCACAUAUUCCUUUCAAGUCUCUCAAUCUUAUUAAAAAUAUCCUUCUUUAUACAAGAUGAAAUCGAAGUGAAUACAAAGUAUAACAACAACCAAUUAAGUUAGGAAUUCCUUUUUUUUAUUUUCAAGUCUUGAUUCGGUAAAGCUAAAAGGAUUUGUAUAGUAGCGUACUCGUCUAUUAGGAGUUCCGGAUCACCAAAAAUACUCAUCUAAUAGGAUGAUACGCCUCCAAGAGUAGUUUAGCAAUAAAAUAAGCUCUCGAAUUGAAUGAUGUCUUGGGUUCAAAUUUUUCUCUAGACUUGAACCUCCUAUCUAACAUGGGUGCGUUAUGGAGGGCUGCGGCGUACACACACCAAAAUGGCAACGAACCAUCUAAACAGCAUGAACUACUAGCUGCCAGGUUAAGAGAACUACCAAAAAGGAACUACCAACAGUAAUGAAGAUUGUCUUUAAUUUUUCUAAUUCCUGGAAUAAUUUGUUGUGUUAAAUAAAACUGCAUAAGAUAGCAUCAAAAUUAUUCUCUAGAUGACCAACUUAAGAACAUAACUGAAUAUUCUCAUUAAUCUUAUUAAUAUACUAGCUAGGUAACACUUAAUAAUCCAACUGAAAUCAGUGCAUUUUCACAUCAAAGAAAAACCCACAAACAUGUUUAGAGCCAAUGUCAAGAAACUUACCAAUUCUUGGAGCUGUAGCGCCAACUGCCGAAUCACUUGUUGAAGGAAUCGAGCUGCCCUCCAUUUCCUCAAAGGUCCAAUGCAGCAAUGGAGAGCGAAUGAGAUACGCAAAUGGAAUAUAUUGAAUC